RNAcentral lists this long non-coding RNA (1915 nucleotides) under Helianthus annuus (common sunflower). Its description in RNAcentral is "hypothetical non coding rna". The record is from RNAcentral. Lineage: Eukaryota; Viridiplantae; Streptophyta; Magnoliopsida; Asterales; Asteraceae.
GGAAUGUAAAUGGUAUCCCCUUUACAAGGGGAUAGGGUUGUUUUAGUCUCGUGUCCCAAACCACCGGGACGCAUGCUUUUAAGUUGUGAACUCACCUUGGGUUGCUCGGUAGAUAUUUUUACCCGGUCAAGUUUGUUGGUCACCACGUCCUAACAUGGUUACCAAAUAUGGGUCAAGUCGGGUACAAGUAAACACAUAGCGAACACGUAUGGAAAUACAUAUAGCAAUUACGUAUAACAUGCGAAUACACAAACAGUUGGGGUAUUGGGCCUAAACAGUAACAGUUACACAAGCAGUCCAUUUAACAGAUAAUCCAACAAGUUCUUUGGCCCAAUAACAGCCCAGUCGAGACAAAGGUGACUCGCAACCGAGGUUGCGACUCGCAACCGAGGUCUCGGUUCGUCACGUUUUGGUUACGAGCCGCAACCAGAGAUUACGACUCGCAACCAGCAGUUCCGACUCGCAACCGGACUCGAUACGCGUUGAUUACGACUCGCAAUCGGGAGGUCUCGACAAAUCCUGCUGUGGUCUCGAGUAGCAACCAAAGGUUGCGACUCGCAACCGUGAUUACGUGCACAUGAAGACCUUCUAGAACCUGUGCAGUGUACUAUCCAAUGAUAUUGCAUUUUCAUGUAAAUUGUGUACUAUGCCACUAAAACAUGUCUGUUUGUCUAUUUUGUGUCUAAAACAGAUCAAAAUCACAUAUUUUGAAUAUUCUUAUAACCUUCAUACAUGUUCUUCAUAUAUUCAAACAAUAUUCAUACAUUCAAACAUGUAAACAUCAACAAUAUUUAACCAACAAUCAUAAUAAAACCGGAUAACACGACUAUUAAGACACACAAUCAUCAUGCAAGUAUUAUUUUGUAACAAGUAAUCAUCAAGUAAUCACUUUCAUCAAUAUACCUCCCAAAAUCAUGCAUAAAUCCCCUAUUACCAUUCGGAUGACACACCAUUUUGCAAUUUAACACAAAUCGGACAACACUAAAUAACCAACAAAUCAUGCAACCAUUUUAAGGCAACUUAUCAACAUUAAGCAACAAAUACUUAGUGAACAACAUAACACUAACCGAUUCUAGUGAGACACAAAGGUGUUCAAGUUGAUGCAAGGAUGAAGCCUUCGAUUGGUGAUCCCGAGCCAAAUCCGAGGAUGUUCUUGAUGUUGGUUGAAUCCGAGAAGAAGGAGGAAAGGAGAGGACCUUUCAUUUAAUAGGACCAACGGUAAAAGCGUUUCAUGUAAAGGGGUCGUAAUAAGUCCCGGAACUAAAAAAGCGUCCUAACAUCUCAAAUAAGAUUAUGAAACCAAUUUUAUGGUCGCGUAAUAUGUCUUUGAACAACCAAAAUAGUGUCCUAAUAAAAACAUAUUAGGACACUUUUACGAUGUUCUAACAUGUGCUUAUAUACUUUAAAUUUUUUGAUACACUUAUAAGCGUCCUUAGAAAUUAAUUGAUAGAACCCUUAUGAUGUAACAUUAUAGCUAAUUUAGUACCAAGAAAAAGGUCCUAAUAUAACAAAUAAGAUUAUGAAACCAAUUUAUGGUCGCAUAAUGUGUCUAUAGACAACUUAAAUAGCGUCCUAAAAAGAACAUAUUAGGACACUUUUACAAUGUUCUAAUAUGUGAUUAUCUACUUUUAAUCUUUUGAUACACAUACAAUCACCCUUAAAAAUUAAUUUAUAGGACCCUUAUGAUGUAACGUUAUAGCUACUUUAAUAUCAAGAAAAUGGUCCUAAUAUCUCAAAUAAGAUUAUAAAACCAAUUUUAUAAACAGACCAUCAACAUAUAACAUCCUAAUAGUUAUUGUAUAACAUCAACUAAUGAAAGAAAUAAAACUUCAUUAUAUUUCAAAUAAGCAUGUUCAUAACAAAAACACUAACCAUAAAUAAGUGAUAACAUUAUCUACCAUAAAGUCUUAACAUU